GUCCGGCAACGAGCGCAACCCUAUCCUUAGUUGCCAGCGGUUAAAGCCGGGAACUCUAAGGAGACUGCCCCGGAAAUCGGGGAGGAAGGUGGGGAUGACGUCAAGUCCUCAUGGCCUUUAUGUCCAGGGCUACACACGUGCUACAAUGGGCGGUACAAAGGGUUGCGAAGCCGCGAGGUGGAGCUAAUCCCAGAACGUCCUCAGUUCGGAUUGCAGUCUGCAACUCGACUGCAUGAAGGCGGAAUCGCUAGUAAUCCCGUAUCAGAAUGACGGGUGAAUACGUCCCGGGCCUUGUACACACCGCCCGUCACAUCAC
This 316-nucleotide ribosomal RNA is filed under the name uncultured delta proteobacterium B2M17. RNAcentral describes it as "bacterial SSU rRNA". It matches the Rfam family "Bacterial small subunit ribosomal RNA", at positions 1084 to 1405 of the family's 1533-position model. The record is from RNAcentral. Lineage: Bacteria; Deltaproteobacteria.